This 407-nucleotide ribosomal RNA is filed under the name Salmonella enterica. Its description in RNAcentral is "partial 23S ribosomal RNA". It matches the Rfam family "Bacterial large subunit ribosomal RNA", at positions 911 to 1314 of the family's 2925-position model. The record is from RNAcentral. Lineage: Bacteria; Pseudomonadati; Pseudomonadota; Gammaproteobacteria; Enterobacterales; Enterobacteriaceae. RNAcentral also lists the same sequence under 1 other name.
UGUUUCGGCUAGGGGGCCAUCCCGGCUUACCAACCCGAUGCAAACUGCGAAUACCGGAGAAUGUUAUCACGGGAGACACACGGCGGGUGCUAACGUCCGUCGUGAAGAGGGAAACAACCCAGACCGCCAGCUAAGGUCCCAAAGUCAUGGUUAAGUGGGAAACGAUGUGGGAAGGCCCAGACAGCCAGGAUGUUGGCUUAGAAGCAGCCAUCAUUUAAAGAAAGCGUAAUAGCUCACUGGUCGAGUCGGCCUGCGCGGAAGAUGUAACGGGGCUAAACCAUGCACCGAAGCUGCGGCAGCGACGCUGAUGCGUUGUUGGGUAGGGGAGCGUUCUGUAAGCCUGCGAAGGUGGCCUGUGAGGGUUGCUGGAGGUAUCAGAAGUGCGAAUGCUGACAUAAGUAACGAUA